GGAAUCUUCCGCAAUGGGCGCAAGCCUGACGGAGCAACGCCGCGUGGGUGAGGAAGUUCUUCGGAACGUAAAGCCCUGUUGUACAUGACGAACGUGCUUUCUAUCAACAACGGGAAGCAAUGACGGUAGUGUACGAGGAAGCCACGGCUAACUACGUGCCAGCAGCCGCGGUAAUACGUAGGUGGCAAGCGUUGUCCGGAAUUAUUGGGCGUAAAGCGAGCGCAGGCGGUUUCUUAAGUCUGAUGUGAAAGCCUUCGGCUUAACCGAAGAAGUGCAUCGGAAACUGGGAAACUUGAGUGCAGAAGAGGACAGUGGAACUCCAUGUGUAGCGGUGAAAUGCGUAGAUAUAUGGAAGAACACCAGUGGCGAAGGCGGCUGUCUGGUCGGUAACUGACGCUGAGGCUCGAAAGCAUGGGUAGCGAACA
RNAcentral lists this ribosomal RNA (425 nucleotides) under uncultured Succiniclasticum sp. Its description in RNAcentral is "bacterial SSU rRNA". It matches the Rfam family "Bacterial small subunit ribosomal RNA", at positions 358 to 774 of the family's 1533-position model. Lineage: Bacteria; Bacillati; Bacillota; Negativicutes; Acidaminococcales; Acidaminococcaceae. The record is from RNAcentral.